UACGUAGGGUGCAAGCGUUGUCCGGAAUUAUUGGGCGUAAAGAGCUCGUAGGCGGUUUAUUGCGUCGGCUGUGAAAUCCCGAGGCUCAACCUCGGGUCUGCAGUCGAUACGAGCAAACUAGAGUGUUGCAGGGGAGACUGGAAUUCCUGGUGUAGCGGUGAAAUGCGCAGAUAUCAGGAGGAACACCGGUGGCGAAGGCGGGUCUCUGGG
Molecule: ribosomal RNA, 210 nt
Filed under: uncultured bacterium
Lineage: Bacteria
Description: partial 16S ribosomal RNA
Rfam family: Bacterial small subunit ribosomal RNA
Source: RNAcentral